RNAcentral lists this ribosomal RNA (483 nucleotides) under uncultured fungal associate of Acromyrmex octospinosus (cf. Cordyceps). Its description in RNAcentral is "SSU rRNA". It matches the Rfam family "Eukaryotic small subunit ribosomal RNA", at positions 573 to 1061 of the family's 1831-position model. The record is from RNAcentral. Lineage: Eukaryota; Fungi; Ascomycota; Sordariomycetes; Hypocreales; Clavicipitaceae.
GCCGCGGUAAUUCCAGCUCCAAUAGCGUAUAUUAAAGUUGUUGUGGUUAAAAAGCUCGUAGUUGAACCUUGGGCCUGGCUGGCCGGUCCGCCUCACCGCGUGUACUGGUCCGGCCGGGCCUUUCCCUCUGUGGAACCCCAUGCCCUUCACUGGGCGUGGCGGGGAAACAGGACUUUUACUUUGAAAAAAUUAGAGUGCUCCAGGCAGGCCUAUGCUCGAAUACAUUAGCAUGGAAUAAUAAAAUAGGACGUGCGGUUCUAUUUUGUUGGUUUCUAGGACCGCCGUAAUGAUUAAUAGGGACAGUCGGGGGCAUCAGUAUUCAAUUGUCAGAGGUGAAAUUCUUGGAUUUAUUGAAGACUAACUACUGCGAAAGCAUUUGCCAAGGAUGUUUUCAUUAAUCAGGAACGAAAGUUAGGGGAUCGAAGACGAUCAGAUACCGUCGUAGUCUUAACCAUAAACUAUGCCGACUAGGGAUCGGGCGAU